Long non-coding RNA from Magnolia sinica, 748 nucleotides. RefSeq lists it as uncharacterized. The record is from RefSeq and is a predicted model, not a curated record. Lineage: Eukaryota; Viridiplantae; Streptophyta; Magnoliopsida; Magnoliales; Magnoliaceae. The transcript has 3 exons.
GCUUUAAUUAAUUCAAUGAUUUGUAACUUCAUUUAUCUUUGUUGUUGUUAGUAUUGUAUGGUGGACCAGGGAUCAAGUAAUGUGUUUCUCUUGCCCAAGGUUGAAACACAUGCACAAGGAAAUUUUUUUGUUUUAUUUAUUUAUUUUUUGUUUUAAAAUAAAAAUAAAAUUUAUACUUCUGCUUCCAUUAUGGUUACUUAGAGUGUUCUCACUAUGACACGUGGCAGAUUUUGUCAGUGAUUGUGAGAGUUAUCCAAAAGGAUGCAAAAGAGAAGAAAGCUGCUUUCAGCCGAAGGGCAUAUUUCAGAUUGUUUCUGAAUUGACUUUUGGACCUUGGUUCCCCUGACCCUGUCCUUGAUAGUUCCAACUUUCAGGUUCACUUUCUGUACAAAGGCACUCUAAGGGUGGCUCUUGGUACUGCUUCAUGAUUUUCCGGAGUUCCUUUGUGAUUAUCAUUUCAACUUUUGUGAUGUGAUUCCACCCAGUUGCAUUCAAAUGCGGAAUGUUAUUCAAAGUGCAUUCCCACGAAACAUGAGAUUGAUUUGCUGGCUGAAAUCAGCCAAUUACCGGGCAUUCUCUUUGAGGUUGAUGGUGCUCUGAAAGCAAAGCAGAUUAAGGUUGACAUUGAUGAGUAUCUCAAGUUAUCUUGAGUUGUCAUUAUUUUUCUCUACCUAACAUUGAGAAAUUCUCUUAUUUUCAUAUUUACAUAGCAAACCAUGCUAUACUAUUUUAUAAGUGCACGUUGCCA